AUUGAACGCUGGCGGCAGGCCUAACACAUGCAAGUCGAGCGGAUGAAGGGAGCUUGCUCCUGGAUUCAGCGGCGGACGGGUGAGUAAUGCCUAGGAAUCUGCCUGGUAGUGGGGGAUAACGUCCGUAAACGGGCGCUAAUACCGCAUACGUCCUGAGGGAGAAAGUGGGGGAUCUUCGGACCUCACGCUAUCAGAUGAGCCUAGGUCGGAUUAGCUAGUUGGUGGGGUGAAGGCCUACCAAGGCGACGAUCCGUAACUGGUCUGAGAGGAUGAUCAGUCACACUGGAACUGAGACACGGUCCAGACUCCUACGGGAGGCAGCAGUGGGGAAUAUUGGACAAUGGGCGAAAGCCUGAUCCAGCCAUGCCGCGUGUGUGAAGAAGGUCUUCGGAUUGUAAAGCACUUUAAGUUGGGAGGAAGGGCAGUAAGUUAAUACCUUGCUGUUUUGACGUUACCAACAGAAUAAGCACCGGCUAACUUCGUG
This 484-nucleotide ribosomal RNA is filed under the name uncultured bacterium. Its description in RNAcentral is "partial 16S ribosomal RNA". It matches the Rfam family "Bacterial small subunit ribosomal RNA", at positions 30 to 507 of the family's 1533-position model. The record is from RNAcentral.